This is a long non-coding RNA of Cloeon dipterum, 3823 nucleotides long. RefSeq lists it as uncharacterized. The transcript has 6 exons. Lineage: Eukaryota; Metazoa; Arthropoda; Insecta; Ephemeroptera; Baetidae. The record is from RefSeq and is a predicted model, not a curated record.
UAUGUGACGGUUUGGCCGGUGUUCAGUGCGUGCACUCGGCACUCACUCAGCUCACUGCACUGCAGUGUUGUUAAAUUUACCUCUUGCCUCAAGCCACGAAGCCACCCCUGCCAGUCAGCCACGCAUUACGCAUUAUUUUUUCAUGAAUAAUAAUAUGUAAUUGUUUGUUCUUACAUAUUCGUGCAAGGAGUACCUACAUAGGGUGAAAGGACUAGGAGCCGACUAGGAGGGUUUUGAAGUGGUAGCCAGGCAUCGGCUAAUCUGGUCCAGGCCUUCCAGGGUCUCUCAGGCUAGGUUCAUCGAGUUGAAUUUCCUGAAUAUUCUGGUUUUUGAUGUUGACAUUGAGCUGGACAAUUUUUAGAAUUGAGGAAAAAAACGGAAAACCUGGUUGAAACGACGUACAUAAAUAUUUAUGUGCCCUACCAUACUAUCCGCUGGGAGGCGCAUUGCCACUGACUCGCCACUUGCUGGUUUUCACACCUAGCCAGCGGCUUGUGGAACAAAUAUCUGGCAUUAAAAUUGAAGACCUGAAUUGACACGUUUGUCCUCCGCAGCUCGUCUGCGACCACCCAGGCCCCGUGUUAUCCGCUAGGCAGUGUAAUUGGGACCAGGUGAACGCAUAGCUACAGAGAGGAUGUGCUGACAAUGAGCAGAAGUUAACAAAGACAUCACUCACACUCCUUGAAAUUGGAACUGAGGUCUUCUGGGUUCCAGAACGAUAGACUUCAAGCGCGGGGCUUCUUUCGCAACGAGUUGGAGGACUUCAAUUAGCAGCUUAUCAAUAAUGUUGUUGCACCCUUCCGUGCACACUGCAAGAAAAUAUUGUGUUCCUAAGUCAAUUGAAUAACAAAAGGGAGUGUAUAAAUUUUUGUUUUAACUUGACCGCAGUUUGCACAUGUUGUCUAUGGUGUGCUGUAAAAUUGCGCAUAUAGCUCUAGAAAAUAUUAUACAAUAAGUUUUAACUGUCAAAUUGAUUGUUGCCCUUGUCUUGCAACAUUACAUUGAAAUUUGAGUUUGUUUGUUGAGAUAUAUGUGCAGUUUUUGACGAUGAGCAGUUCUGCGAUAUUAGGAGUUGUUGAUUGGACGGUAUUUUUUUAGUGUUGAAAUUUUUAGGGUACACUUGAUAUGUGCUUAUUUUUUAAUAAAGUAAUUUUUCAAUAGAUGAAAUUGCAAAUUUGAAGCUCGGGAAUUGGGGUGUUCCCUAUUUUUUUUCGUAAUGUCCGAGCUUCCAAUUUGGAAUUUCACCAUCUAACAAGAAGUACACUUUUAAUUAAGCAAAUCAUGUGUCACCUAAAUAUUUUGACGCUAAAAGUAAUUGUCCAGUUGACCCCCAAUACCUUCGGAGAACUGCUCGCAUAAUAUAUAAUAAAGGUAAAGUAAAUACAAACCUUCAAGAGCUUCCAACGUUGGCACGACCUGAGGCAGUUGGAAGAAUACGUGGGCGUUUAACAUGCUCCACCGUGUCAGACUCAAAAGCUUCACCCUAAUUUUUUUCAGAUUUGGAGCUGCCCGAAGCAAGUAAAGCUCUUCCUGAGUGCGUCGUGCCAUUGACAAUUGGGUUUCAACCUCCUCGAUGCUAGGGGGAAGUGACACUAGCAGUCUCUCAUUCACACCGACUUUUUUCAAGUUCGGACAAUGAUCAAAAACCCUUUGAAGUUGGCAAGGAAGAGAGAAGAGGCUACUGGUGAACAGUUCCUCCAGCUUUGGCCCGUAAACCUGGAGCAUGCCGACGAGGUUGAAGAGGUUUCCAUCGUUCUUCGUCCAGGUUUAGCUGCACUUCGAGGCUAGUGGCAUGAUGACUGUGCCACUGCGCUUGCUCCGUGUUUAUAGGUUGAAGAAGAACUAGAAUCUCUAACCUGCUGCUCUCUCGUGGAAAGUUGACAGUUCUGUCGCCCAGAGAGUGGCAUAGCGUGCGAUGAUGCAACCAGGUGGAUUCUUGCCUCCGUCCCACUACUUUCAAUCUUGGAAAAUUAUGCAACAAGAUACACUCCAGGUCAUUUUGAUGGUAAGCAAGUCCAGCGACACAGUUUUUAAUGUUUUCUGCACCGACGGACGAGUAUAUAUUCACAUCCAAGCUGCGAAGCUGCUCGAAGUUCAUGCACAUCAUCCGAAACUCUACUUCGCUGAGCACAAAAUCUUCCAUUUUGAGGUGCCUCAGGUUUGAAAAAGACAGGAUUUGAUUGAAAAUUUCAGCCGGCAGUGUUGUCCAUGUGCAGCAACCGUGAACACUUAGCGACUCGAGCGAAUUCCUGCUGCUGGAGCUGAGUCUCUCUAGAAUAUGGCGCGUGGCUUUCUUCUCGAACACAGCAGAUCUCUCUUGAAGCCUUAUACGGAACGAUUUGGUCCAGUCAAAGUUAAAAUUAUCGACGAAAUUGGAAACAAGUGCCAACAAGACGUCCAUGAGAACCGUGGGUUGGAUAGGCUGUUGGUUCGGUUGCUCAUUAGCAAUCCAAAGCGCUAUCAAGAGAUCUUGCCGCAUGUCAUGUGGCAUUCUCUCGAGUUGACUUACCCAAAUUGUAAGUGCUGGGUGUAAAAUAUUCAGCAUACGAAUUGCUUGAACUGCCGUCGCCACACACAUGCUCUGCAGGCUUGAAACUUCCCUGGUUGCCGACAUAGUGCGGUGGAAAUUUGGGGGUGAAGAAGCGCUUGAGUCUUAUUCUAGACCACGUGGAUGAUCGUCACUUGCUCACGCUUACAUGUGAGCAAACUGCCUGCUUGUCCCUCUUUUUCUCUUCAAACUUGAAUAGACGUUUAAGUAUCUCAGGUUUAAGAACCAGGUGAGCAAAUUUAAAUCGUGAAUUAUGUUGUGUUCACUUAAGAAUGUAGAAAUUGAGAUUGUCCACACUAACUGAAAUGGUGGCCUCUUCUCGCGUGCGUCUGUUAAAGUAUCUUCCCUUAGCUUCACCAGCGGUGUGUAGGGGAGGUUUUAUAGCGCCCUGAACUGAAGCGCUCGUUAGUCCAGCGGCCGAGACUUGAAUUAAAAAAAAUCUUGACUAUAUUCAGGCUUUAAAAUUUGAAGUUAAAUAAUAAAUAUUAUAGUUAGGCUUUUUUCUCCUAAACAGAAACACGCCAUUCUAAAUCUUAUCUAUUUUUUGCGUUAUGAAAGAAUGAUAUAUUAUAUUUUGUGCAACUUUCAUACUAAUAAAAACACUAUUGGAUUAGUUAUAAUUAUCAACACAUUCAGCAUAAAGGCAUAUUUUAUUUAUGGAAAAUUUUUCCGUCUGGGUUUAACGUUGCUUCAAUUUUCAGUCAUAUAUAUUAUAAGAGGUGUAUCUUGUUUCCCCAGAAAAAAGCGAAGUUUUCUAGUUUUCUACUAUGGAUUUUAUUUUACUGAUUUUGCUUAUAGUAAAACAUUGACAUUUAUAAAUAGAGCAGUUCCCAGGAAUAUUUGGAGGUCGAUUUAACGGGAUAAUUCGGCGUUAACAUUUUUAGGUAACACUUGUAUUUGCUGUAUACUUGUUAACAGAUGGAGAUGGAUUUUUCAUAUUAUCUCAAAACAUCCCCGAAAAUCAAAAUUCGUGAAUGUAAAGUGGACUGCGUUUAAAGGUUUAAACUUGGAAUUCCACCAUCCAAUAGCAAGUUAUUUAAGCAAAUAUAAGAGUCAACUAAAAAUUGGAACGCCAAAAAAUGUCCAAUCGACCUCGAACUGCUGAAUGACAAUUUACAAUACAUACAAAAUAGCUGAUGAAAUUAUUAUACAUUAAUUACAUGAUGAUCCGCUCCAUUCCUUUCAUUAUAAAUAAAUCGUUUUCAGUCUCAAAUUCCAACUUUAUGAAAAAUGCGAUUCUUUGUAAAAAAUGGUAUUAAAUAAUUAAGUUCAUUA